GUGAGGAAUUUUCCGCAAUGGGCGAAAGCCUGACGGAGCAAUGCCGCGUGAAGGAUGAAGGCCUAUGGGUUGUAAACUUCUUUUCUCAGAAAAGAAUUAUGACGGUAUCUGAGGAAUAAGCAUCGGCUAACUCUGUGCCAGCAGCCGCGGUAAGACAGAGGAUGCAAGCGUUAUCCGGAAUGAUUGGGCGUAAAGCGUCUGUAGGUUGUUUAAAAAGUAUUCUGUCAAAGAUUAGGGCUUAACCCUAGAUAGGCAGAAUAAACUUUUAAGCUAGAGUUUGGUAGAGGCAGAGGGAAUUCCCGGUGGAGCGGUGAAAUGCGUAGAUAUCGGGAGGAACACCAAAGGCGAAGGCACUCUGCUGGGCCAAUACUAACACUGAGAGACGAAAGCGAGGGGAGCAAAUGGGAUUAGAUACCCCUGUAGUCC
RNAcentral lists this ribosomal RNA (426 nucleotides) under uncultured bacterium. RNAcentral describes it as "bacterial SSU rRNA". It matches the Rfam family "Bacterial small subunit ribosomal RNA", at positions 354 to 796 of the family's 1533-position model. The record is from RNAcentral.